GCAUUAUAAUCUUGCAAAUCAUGGCAGGAAAGGAGAGCUACACCAAAUGUGUAGAUACUUCUUCCGAAGUAUUUAUUGAGCUUGUAAGAAAAAACUCUAUAUUAAGAAAUGUAAUACUUUCACUAAUAUUAGGUUGUACCACACUUCUAGGCAUGCAUGCCAAGGAAUUAUGUUCCAAUUCUGCAGGUAUAUCAAUUCUGGGCAAACAGGAUGCAGGGCACAAUAUCAAAGCAUACUUCGCGUGAAGUUAGAACAUGCAUCGAAAUAGCUCUAAAAUGUGUGGAGUUCAGUCGAGAAAAGAGGCCUACUAUAAAGGAGAUCAUACAGAAACUGAAUAAGAUUGAUAUUGUUGAGUGCUCAUCUAUACAUCAGCUAUAUAGAGCAAAAGAGUUUUCAUUUGAGUUCUUAGUAAAUAUUACUGAUAAAUUUUCCAAGCAAAACAUAGUUGGCCGUGGUGGAUAUGGAAUUAUUUACAAGGUAUGUUAUUACUUCAUCUUCUAACUUCCAAAUGAGCCCUGCCGUUAACUACAAAAAUAAUGUGCCAUAAAAAAAUGAGAUUUUUAAUAGGGGGUGCUGAAGGAUGGAGAAGAGGUUGCUGUUAAGAAACUUCAUCAAAUGUUGUGGAUUGAUGAUGAACAAUUUAAGAACGAGCUUAAUAAUCUAAUGAGGGUCCAACACAAAAAUAUCGUACGGUUAGUUGUCUACUGCCACCAUGCAUCACAUAUAUUUGUUGAGUACGAGGGAAAACAUGUUUCUGCUAGCGUGGUAGAAAGAGCAAUUUGUUUGGAAUAUGUGCAGGGUGGAAACCUUGACAAUCAACUUUCUGGUAUGAUUCUGCUCUACUUGCACUAAAUUAUGUUUGAAUUUCCUACAACAUAAGAGGGCGCCGGGGGAGGGGGCAUGAUCUAUUUACUCAUCCUUGUAUCCAUAGUUCCGUACACAUGAUUCAUGGUUGGGUUAGGUGGAGAGUAGCAUCCAACAAGAAAGGAGAUAGGGUUGAGAAGAUGGAACUAUUUUUUGCAGCAUCUAGGAGGGGAAACCGGGUGAUAUGCUGGACUAUGUUUUAGAUUAAACACACUUGAUAAUACUAUUAUACUUGUUAUUUACAUAGCGAUUUAACAUACUUUUUUUUACUUCUACAGCUGAACCCUGCAAACUUGAUUGGGACAAAUGUCACAAAAUAAUAAAAGGAAUAUGUGAGGGUUUACAUUACCUUCAUAAUGCUGAUACUCCCAUUUACCAUCUGGACUUGAAACCAGAAAAUAUUUUGUUAGAUAAGGAUAUGGUGGCAAAAAUUGGUGAUUUCGGUUUGUCAAGACUUUUUGAUUCACCACAAACCUAUAUGACACAAUCCCAAGAUAUUAAAGGAACACGGUAAGUUAAUGACUCAAAAUAAUCAAUUAGCAUCUUUUCUCGAACUUUCAGAAAAAUAAUUGUAUUAGACAAAAUGCAGUGGAUACAUGCCACCAGAAUACAUCAACAGACAUGCAAUCAGUCCGAAGUUUGACGUAUUUAGUCUCGGGGUCAUAAUCAUACAAAUAAUGGCAGGAAAGGAGGGUUACUUCAGUUUUCCACAUACCCCUCCGAAAGAAUUUAUUAAGAAUGUAAGAAAAAGAUUUCAUAUGAUAGAAAAUAUUUUUUCACAAAUAUUUUAUCAUGCCUUACCCCUGUUCCCCUCUUUUGGUGUUAUUAUGAUUCAAUUAUCUAGGUGCGUGAAAACUGGCGAAUGAAGGUGGAGGCAACAAUGCCGCCCCAUGCAUCUGAAGAAGUGAGGACAUGCAUCGAAAUAGCGUUGAAAUGUGUGGAAGAUGACCGAAUGCGGAGGCCUACAAUAGCCCAGAUUGUUAAUGAACUAAGUAACAUUGGUGUUGCUAAAAGUUCACCCGUUAGUCAGGUACAUAUUCUCUGCUCCCACGGUAUCAGGCCGUAUGUCUUUUGUCAUCCUACUUUAAUUCAUAUGUUCCCUGCCAUAACCUGUAACUAUCGACACGUGCGCUUGCACAGGUAGGAAUUUCAAAGUAAUAAUGACAAUAACCAAUUGAUGUAAAAAAACUAAAUUCAUUUUGUCGAUUCCUACAUUAUUUAACAGUUCCUUUCUGGAUGCAGUGGGCGAACAAGCUGAAUGUGUUGAAGACCUUGUUAUCAUCUACUCACUUCAAGUUCAAAUAUUGGUUGUUCCUCUUUGUCGCAGUGAUUUCCAUGUUUUUCGCAUGGGCGAAAUUCUGUCCAGGUACUGGCGCAUUGUAGAUGAACAUGUUUUUUUUUUGCGAUGGUGUAGAUGAACAUGAUUAAUUGCUUGAAGGCACGAGUCUGUUGGAUUCUAUUAAUGUGGCAAAAUCUUCAAAUUCGGCAGAUUCAUGGUGGCAAGGCAUUACAAGGAGGACGUAAACCACAACACCUGCUGGAUGCCUUCAUCUACACGCCAAGAAAGGCGGUAGCAGGGAGAAUAGUUUCUGUACAAGAGUUGUUAGUGUGAUUUCCAUAUUAGUUUCUUCUGUCAAUCAAGCAAAUUGCGAUCUUGGGAAUCAGAGUGCUAGGGUAUCUAUAUAUGUUUCCAAAAGCUCAAGAAAGCACUCGAUCAGUGCGGCCAUGCCAAUCAUCUUUCGCCACUAGGAGCCCUGUUUAAAGAAACUAAACCUUUGCGCAGCACGCGUUGCAUAUGGCAAUGUAAAAUUUCCUGGCCAUCUGCCUCGGUUUGUACUUUGUAUAGAGCCUGUGUGCUGACGAUUUGUCCACCGCUAAUGUUUAAUGGAACUAGAUGACCCGUUGCGCCAAUGGCGCAAAGGCCGAGUGUAAGCCAAUCGGUAUAAGAGUGUGCGUUAAUAUAUUGUUGUUCGAAAUGAAUAGCUCAUAUAUUAUAUGUAGUAAGUACAUUAGAUUGGAAAUGAUGCACUAAGUCAUUUAGGAUGGCCAAUGUCUUGCAGAAAGAUAAAUAACCUUUUUAGUUAUCUCACAAAUAUGAAAUAACGAUGCUCUUUGAAUAAAUGAAUACUGGUUUCUGUAAGAUGAUCCGUUGCGCCCAUGGCGCAAAUACCGAGUGCAAGCCAAGCAUUGAAAGAGUGUGCAUUAAAAUAUAUAAACACAAAAUCAAACAUAUGAAAAUAAGUACGGAUAGAUAGAUGGUGGUUGUUUCAAAAGCAUAUCACACAACAGUCUAAGUAGCAAAUAAAGUUAAAUGCACAAGAUGGUCUUGGGGAUUACAUAAGAUCCAAAAGGAUGAUAAACAUAGAAGUUUUGGUAGGCAUAUAUACUAAUGCUAAGUUAUAUAACAAGGGGCUCUUACAACUUGCUUAUAUUGAGUAGGCGACCAGAUACAAUCCUUGAAAGUGCAUUGACAACCCGUUGUGCCCAUGGCGCAAAAAUCAACAGUGAGCCAAAUAUUCAAACCAUGUAUAUGUGACUGAUUUAAAAUUAUAUUUUAACUACUUUUCAGUCAGCUAAAAUUUUCACUUUUGGGUCAGUCGAAUUUGUGGCCAUUGGAUUUUUCUGUAAGAUUAGUGCUGUGUUUUUUUCCUGACCUGUGUUGUCUGUUGGGUGGGCUUCUUUCUUUUUUGACUGACCUCUUAAUUGGGUCAGUCGAUUUCUUUCUGGGCCGAAGCUCAUUAACUGUGCAAUCCAGCCCUCAUCUCUCUCCCUCGAUUUUUAAUACUUUUUUGUUUUUAUUGCUUUUGCUUUUGUUUUUUUACUUUCUUUGUUAGUUGGUUUUAUUUCUAUUUUGUGGAUUUAUUUUGAUUUAUUUCUGUUUUCUGUUUCUAUGGGUUUUUCUUUUCCACAUUUUCUUUCCUUUAUUGGUUAUUUUUAUUUUUUGUGGGUUUUUGGCUAAGUGUAAUUGUAUACAAAAUAUACUAUAUAAUAUGUGCCAAAUUUUCAUGAUUAUAUGAACACUAAAAAUGUGCAACUUCUAUGCAAGUAGUUUGCAAAAUAUUUCAUUAUUUGUUUUAUUAUUUCCAGUUCAUUUCUUCUUUAAUGGGAAACCAUGACAUUAAUUCAUUGUUUCUUAGAAAACUUCACUAUUUUAACUUUCUUUAAGUUUUUAUUUCAUUUUAUUUAUUUUCAAGGGUAAUACCAAUACCUCUAUUUCGUUCCUACUUAGGAUAUUUGUGAAAUAUCACUGUUUGUGCUUAUUUUUGCAUAUUAUAAAAAAACGCAAUUUCUAUUCAAACGGUGUGCAAAUGUUAUCAUUUUUUUCUACUUUUCUUUCUUCUUAAACGGUAAUACCGAUACCAGUAAUUCAUUAUUUUGAUCUGGAGAAGUAGAGACACCAUGGAUCAAAUAACAAUGUCACUAAUUCAUUCUUUCUUUAGAUAAUUCUGUUUUUGCGAAAAAUUUCACUAUUAUGUGUUUAAUCUUGCAUAUUAUAACAAAGCACAAUUAUGUGCAAAUUGUGUGCAAAUUUUGUCAUUAUUUUGUUUUAGUUGUUUAUAUCAUUUUGUUUCUAUUUAAGGGUAUUUUUGCUUCACUUUUUUAUUUCUGUUUUCUGUUUUUAUGUUUUUUAUUUUUCCCAUACCUUUCCUUUAUUGCUUAUUAUUGUUUUUGUGGGUUUUCGGCUGAGUGUAAUUUUAUACAAACAAAUACUAUACAAUAUGUGCCAAAAUUUAGUGAUUAUAUGAUUGUUUUUGCAUAAUACGAUAAAGUGCAAUUUCGGUGCGAAGUUAUGCGUAAGUUUUUGUUGUUGUGUUUCUUCUUAAAGGAAAUACAUUGUUUCAGUUACACUAUGGAAAUUAUAGUAGAAUGCAAAAAAUGCACUAUUAUAUGCUUAUUCUUUGCAUAUUUCAAAAAGUGUAAUAUCAAUGCAAAUUGUGUGCAAGUUUUGAAAGUGUUUUCAUUUUCAUUUUCUUUCUUCUUAAAGCGUUUCAUUCUUUCUUAGAAAAUUUAAUUAUUUUGAUUUUGUUUUAGUUUUUUUUUGUUUUGAAAGUGUAAUACGAAGGCUAUGUGUUUAGUCAUUGUAGCCUGUUUUUCCGCCGGUUGUGACAUCUUUUUAUCUGUAUUGUUCUUGUUCUCCUUUUGUGAGUAGUUCUAGACCUCAAACUUUGUUUACAUACUUUUGGUUAAUAAAUUGGCUGCAUGCGUCAUUUUGAUGCUGAGGUCCGGGGCUUUCCUCCUUUUUAAAAAUAUAUGUAUUUUCCAUCAUUAUUUGGUUUAUGUGUUUUUACAUAUUGUUUUCUUUUGUGCAAUGCAAUAUCAUGCCACUAACCAUGGCCAGCCAGCUCACGCACUGACAAAGCCAGAGCUAGCAAGCUCACAUGCGACGCGGAGCUAGCUCACGCAUGGACGCAGCUGGAGCUAGCUAGCUCACGCGCUACGGCCAGCUGAAGCUAGCUACCUCGCGCGCACACGCACAGGACACACCACACCACACGUACUAUAGGGUAAAAGAAGUGACUGACCCAUUCACAAAUUCAGUCGACUGACUUAAAAUUAACCUAAUAGAUACUUAUAUUCUAUUAUUAUAUGAUACAAGCUAAAUGGAAGUUUAAGAUAAGUAGGAGUAGAUUGCAUGAAACGGUGUAGAUCAUGACAGUACAUGCAGUACAAAUUAGCAAGAAAAACAAAAUUACAACUGUGCCAUUGGGACAAAGAACCCCACACUAUGGACACCUAUACACACGCGUCACACAUGUAACACAACAGGUCACCACGUGGUCGACUGUUGGUCUUGUUCCAUCCACCACCAGUUCAUCGUCCUCAUCCCGUUCCUUUCCCCAUUCUACUCGUACCUAAGUGAGAAAGCACCUGGUGGAGGCGGACGGCGACAUUUCGGGCUCCAUCUUGGCGGCUGACGCCGCAGCUUGGCCGCAGGUGUUGCGGCUCCAUCUGCUUCUUGGUGGCCCGGCAGCUACUGCUGUAGCUUGGAGCCGCAGAACCGGCAAAUGGUGCCGCUGUUGCUCGUACCGGUGAUUUGGCUGUGCUGGCACUCCCUGAAGCCGGUAACUUUUCAUGGGAAGGGAUGCUCCAGGAAGACUAUGGUAGCCGCUAUUGCCGCUCAGGUAAGAACUAUCUCCUUGGUGUUUGAUGAAUCUGUAGAUUUUUUUUGUGAGCUCGUUGCUACUAUGCUAAUAGCCAAGUCUCGAGGGCAGUGUUGAUACUUAGCUGAGUGGUUCAACGCAGGAGCACUAAUCAUCUGAGUGAUACAUAGCGGCUGGUACUACUCCAAUCAUCCAGCUGGGUAUAUUGUAUAAGAUACUUAGUUGAGUGACCGCCUUUAGAUGUUUCAGAUGCUGAAGAGUAUUUUCUAAUCCAAUCAUCUGAGUUUACUAUGUUUUCUCUACAAGAGCAACCUGAAGCCAAAAGAACACAAAACUGUACAAACUAAAACAAAAACAUGUCCACAUGCCUAAUAACUUUGAAAGCUUGAGUCCUACUACAACAGUUCAAACAGUCAAUAGUCAGAAGAGGCUAAAUAAGAUACCGAUAUAAGGUAUUUAUACCUUUAAUCUGGGCAUGCAUAAUAGGAUUAAAGAAUUUAGAUAAGAUGCCAAGGGUUCUUCACUCUAUAUGGCAUUCACCAGAACACUAAAGCCAUGGUUGUUAUUGCAUAGCUCUAGACUAAAUAAUAAGAGCAUAACCAAAAGAUUUAUGCAUUAGUGCAUGAACAAAUAGAGAGAAAAAAUAUGCCUAUAAUAUCCCAUGCUAUAUGCACACCAAAUGAAGGCCAAACAGAAGAUCACUAAUAAGAAAAUAGAACUAUGUGAGUAUAAAUUUUCAGGAAAACAAUAGAAUGGUGAGAUUCAUUGUGUAAUAAUGAUUAUAAGCUCAGGUAUGUACAUUUGAACAAAUAGAAGAUUAAGAAAGGGGAACAUGCAACAAAAAAGCUUUCAAAAAGCAGUAGUAUUUUUACCUCUGCAACAAAGAAAGUACAAAAAUGUAUUAGUUGGUAUUUCUCCAGAUGGCGAAUUGCCUGGGAAAAAGGAUUAGUAGGUUUAAUAGGUGUUACUUUCUUGGGCAAGCACCAAAACUUUGCCAAAAAGUAAAAUAUAUUGGGCUCAUUGCACCUUUAUUUUCCCUGUACUUCUAGACUGUAUGAUGGCGGUGUAAGCUAGCCAGCAUCUUCAGAUUAGUCCAUCCAAAAAGCAUCCUAAAGGUAACAGUUGGAUUGAUUGUAUCAUCCCUGAAACGCCAUUAUCAAAAAUUCAGUUGCCGCUUAAUAGUAAAUAGAAGUGUACUGCUUGCUUAUCACGCUUACUUAGGACUCAUAGGCCUUAUCUAAUCCCUGUCCAAUGCAAACCAUCUAUCUAUGCGAAAUAGGCAAGAGGUAGGCAAAGAUGCUAUAUACCUAAGAGUAUAUGUCAAUCUAAACUAAAGUACUGCUCAUAAGAAAGCAAGCAUGAUAACACGUCGUUGCUUGCUCUAAUAAUAAAUCAGUUGUUGGAAAGGAGGAGGAGGCUAUUUUAUUUAUAAAGUUUAGUUUAGUGAUUUAGUACAAAUAAGGACAUGUCCAAAUAUGACAGGCACAACAACCUCAUACACAUGGGGUUGGUUUGGUUAAAUCAGGAUGAGCAGAAAUGGAACACACCAUAUACAUUUUCCAUGCUUCAACAUAGAUCCGUGAAAAGCAGAGAAUUGUUACACAUCCUCAUAUACUCACUAAAGAAAUAGAGAAUAGAAAUUGCUACUAAAGUAUUUGUAUGCAUCCACAUACACUCAUUAUAAAAACAGAGUAAUGUGUGCAUGUUAUAUAAGUUAGUCGGCCAUCAAUCGUACGAAUCUUUCUUUAGCAUGUUUGAGAAGAAUAACAUGGCAGGACUGACCAAGGCAGUCUUUCACUUGAGUUGCUUAUCCUUGGUCGUUUCCAGAAUCCAAGCACAAAAUUAUGUACGUAUAUGGUGUUUCUCCAUAGAAAGGAUCGCCUCUGGUGCUGGGGGACAUUUGCAUUUAUCUACUGUCUCCAAGAGUUUGUUCCGAAUGUAGAUCAUUCUUGAGAAGCACACAUUAGAAAAAUGUAGGUUCAUAUGCCUAGACAUAAUGAUUCUGAAUGCAAACAGGAAAUAAAAAAGAAAGAGAAAGAACUUACUUGCUAACUGGGUGCAAUAUACUGUUAAGAGAUUGCAUAGCGUUGCAUCCCAUGACUUCAGAACACCGGAAUAUUGCAUCUGCAGUGUGAGGCCACACAUUGAAUGGUGAUAAAAGAGUAAGGUUAUUGUUACUACAUGUAAGAAAAUUGUUUUUUAUAAUUGUCAUAAAUAAGUAAGCCCUGACUUGCAUAAGAUAAAUUAAGCAAAUUAACAGCUGAUAAGCUUUUCCUUUCAGAUAAUGUGGAGUGUCAAGAUACUCUUAUUAAGUAGAUGGGUGUCCCUCGGUAGAAUUUAAGAACUGGCAAACUACUAACUUUAUGUUAAAAUCAUGAAACGACAGAAUAGACUCUGAUAAAUUACUAAUGAUCUUUCAACGAUGAAACAACAAAAUUGAUUUAUAUCUUCUUGUUAAUAAUAGCAUGUCAACUCAUGGUUAUACUCAGACGGGGAGACUCGCAUAUGAAUCAUGAUAUAUGGAAAGAUUUAUUCUACUAUUGUUAACCCUAGACUGAUGUGUAUGCUAUAAAUGUUAGACAUCUGAACUAUCUGAAUAAAAAUAAAUGGACAGGUUAACUUGAAGUCGACUGAAUGUAGGCAACAUAAAAACAACAAAAAGGAUAAACAAAGAUCACACAAAGAAAAGCGAGAACUCUGAUUGUACAGAUAUAGAGGAAGCACAUGUUUGCUACGUGCAAUUUUUAUUGCAUCUAGACCUUCACCCAACGCAAUAGGAUGGAUCCAUAUUGGCGUUGUAAUGAACUUCGGCCUCCUUCACUAAAUUUAGUUUCAGAAUUGAACAAAUUUUCUUCUUUGGCCUCCAAUUUGCUACUCCCUAUUGAGGAUAGCCGCCACAUGUAUGUCACUGCUCCAACAACAUGAGAGCGGGGACUCCGAGCACGCAGAAGCUGGAAAGACCAAGUAAGUCACAGUUAUCAUUCCAAACACUAUUCUACCUAUAUUGUCUAUGGUAAAUAUGCAAAUACCAUAGCUUUCUCAAUGUGAAUACCUUGCAUAACUUUAUCUCGUACACAGUUCAAAUCAGGUGAUUUGUCUGCAAGAGCAGGGAAAUAACCAUUCCCAGAAUAGACAUUAGGCAGUCCUACAAAAGUUAGCAAGCAACAAGAUUAGUUCGUUAAACUAUUACAAAUGGCAAUCAAUAUUCCGCAAUGAAGAUAACCAGUAACCAUAGAGAAUAAAAAUAAAAUCAGUCCAUGAUCAUUUUGUUCAUUGCUAUUCUUUAAAACCAACCACCACCUGAUUUUGUAGGAAUCUGUUGUUUCUGAAGGUAUAUUUUAUCCAUGAAUAAAGAGAUGGUUUAGAAGUGAGUAACCUGGGUCUGCAAUUUCAAUGAUGCUUUCGUUCUCUCUUCAAACAACAAAAUUAAUAACAAACCCAAAGCAAGAGUGGGGAGGCAAGGGAGUUUAGGGAGAAAAAGAUGGUGCAGAAGUUGGUACCUGUGCACGGGUAAUAGCACCAUCCCAAUCAUUGUCCACGUGCGCGCUGCUGGUCACCACCUUCCACCUGAGAACUGGCAGGUCCAGCAGACGUCGACUGUCGUUGAGGUGCAAGCAUGUAAUUAUAUAAUCAUGCAUGUUCAUGGUUGAACGAACUCUUCUUUCAACAAAAAAUUAAAUAGUAAAGUGAAAUGAAAUGCGAAAAGACUAAUAUGUACAACAAUUUCAAAGCCUCCGUGACAAAGAAGAAACAUCACAGUAAAAGUAUCCAUAAUACACACAUGUACCUGUCAAGAUAAAAGAAGCAACACCUUUCAAUAGAAAAAUAGGCAAUAAUAAUCGACUGCGUCUUCAGAAGCUAGCUUUUCAUUCACACCGACCUACAACCAAGAAAAUGAGAAAUUUGAUAAUUUCAUCAAGUUAAUGGUGUGCACAAAUGAAGCUGAAAUUAUAUAUAUGCCAUAAGGUGAUGAAACCUACCUCUGCACCAAUCCAAAUCAUGUCAGGCCGAUGAACAAAAAUGGCAUGCAACAUCACCUAACACACAUCUGAGUUGAAAAGCAAUAUUUCUUUGGUUCUAAAAAAGUGACGAUACCAGCAACAAUGGUUGACGAUGGCUGCAAGCAAAGUAGUAUGCAUCAGCUGGGAGCAAAAACCAACGAGUUGCUACCUUGAUGCUUUAUAUUCUUCUAUGUGUCUUGUUAUCCCCGUCAAGUCACUGAUGCACCCGGUCGAUACAAAAGUUUGCUAUUUUCUUGUGGAGCUUAUAAUUGACAUAGAUCUGAACAAAAAUGGAGGGACCAAAUAAAUUGCAGAGUUGGGAGUUUAGGAACUAACAGUUGUAAAUCCACACCAAUGAACACAAAUACAACCUGAUUCUGUGGCAGACCUUUAACAGGAAAGGUAAAAUUUGUAGCAUAGUUAGGAACUUAAAAUUAUAGGUCACUAAAGUGCAUGCCACUGCAUCAAGAAAAUUCAUCUAACAGACAUCGAGCUUGUGUAGGACUGUCUUAUUAAGCACAUCAUGCUAACAUGCAAACUCGUGAUUGGAAAAAAGAAGUUACUCUAGCGAAAACUGGUGCUAAGCAGUGAAGAGGGCUAAAGGGAGCACCGCUUCUGAACAUUCUAAGAACAAUGAAGAGGCGUGCUCACAUCUAUGAAGCUAAAAAUAGUACACCAAACCGUAUUGAUUGAAUACGGCUAACAACGGAAAAACAAUUAGUAGUGAAGAAUCUGCAUAGAAUAGUACCGGAACGCAUCAAUCUAGGCAUGUAGCUAGCUUCUGCCAUCAGGGUUGCUUGCUAAUUGCAACGAUAUUCAUACCUGAAGAUUCAAUGAGCACUACUAAGCGAUAAAAAAAGAAAACUGAAUCUGUUCACUCGAUGUGUGCAUGGCCUACAAUGUUCUCACAUAUGAGUAAUUCAUCAAAGAAGCCCUCAAAAAAAUCAUCAAACAAAACCGCACAUGAAAGACAGGCUUACCUAAAUGGGGAUGGCCCGUGACCUGGAUCUCCUCGUCCGCGCUUUGCUGGUCUGCUACUACUUGAACAGAAACUCUGCCUGUUGUGCUGACGCUGCCCAAACUGUGCAAGUCUCAUAGUUCCCUGCAAUUGUUAAGAUCAAAAUCAGCAUCUUUUGCAACUAAUGCAGAGUGUGAAUUUCUCUGAAGAUAAAAAAGGCUUUGCAGAUUCAGUAUAGUUGACACAAACAAAAUGCAUUACCUGCUUUCCUCAAGAACCAGUGACUGAAAGUUGUGGAGAGCAAAUUGCAAAAAUAUGAGCAUUAAUACUUCUUAGGUAUCACAGAAAUUCAACGGAACUUUAACAAGACCAUGGCUUGCUUUUCACACUAUGGAACGUUCACGUAUUUCAUAUUUGAUCCACCUUUCAGCUGGGCAAAACAACAAACAGGUGGGGCACAAUAUCUAUUUAUGCUCAGAAAAGAAAUUACCAAAUAUCCGGCCACGAGGACGUGCGUGAGAGGACGGAAGAGACAGUGUGUGUGACAGCGAGAGAGGAUGUACGCGAGGACGCGGGGACUGGUGUCUCGGGUGGAUGGACGGCAGCGCGAAAGCCGGACUGAGCCGGCCAUCUCUGCGACCCACGCUCCUCCUGCCGACGACGGCGACGUGGACCACGGAUGUGGCUCGAGCUCCUCCGGGGUCGCCGCUGCACGCGUAGAGAUGGAGGCGGGGUGGAGCCUCCCGUGCAUCGCGCCCCAGCCCCGGCCUCCUCGCAGCUCCUGAUUUAGGAACGGGUCGAGCCGCCGCCAACCGCCAGGUCGUGCCCGACCUCGCCAGCGCAGGCCGACGCUGGCCAGUGACCCUCUCCUGUCAGCUGCCACACCUCCCUCUCCUCUUUCCUCUCUCUUUCUCCCGCCUCUCCUCUCCUUCCUUCUCUCUCCCUCUCAUCUUCUCUCUCUCUGAUAGGGUUCGUGCGGGAGCAAGGGGUUGGGGAGGUGGGGGCUGGGGAUGACGAGACGCCGCCGCGCACGAAGAGGAGAGGAGGCGGCGCGGAGGGAGAGAGGAAGGAGAGGAGCCAGCCCGGAUAUUUUCUAGGGCUCGGCUCGGUCCACCCACGAUGGAUGCCCUGGCAACCCACGAUCGAUCGCUCCUGCUUUCACCCGGACACAGAGACGCACACACCAUAUCGCUGCUAGGCUGGCCCGCGCACAAGCCUGGCCCAGUCGUCAUCUGCUCCUGGUCCAAUCACGCAGCGUACAGAAUAACAAGCGGUGGGAUGUUUACCAGGUCGACCAUAAUUACUGUUACGGCUGCCAGCGAGGUCAAUCGUGCGUGCAGGAUGAUUUUGAAGCUGCGAUGGCGCUGAAACGGCGGGUAGUGUUGGAGGCUUUAUAUGUUAGAUGCAACGGCAAUGUUCCCUAAAAAUAAAUUAAGCAAAUGUUCANNNNNNNNNNNNNNNNNNNNNNNNNNNNNNNNNNNNNNNNNNNNNNNNNNNNNNNNNNNNNNNNNNNNNNNNNNNNNNNNNNNNNNNNNNNNNNNNNNNNNNNNNNNNNNNNNNNNNNNNNNNNNNNNNNNNNNNNNNNNNNNNNNNNNNNNNNNNNNNNNNNNNNNNNNNNNNNNNNNNNNNNNNNNNNNNNNNNNNNNNNNNNNNNNNNNNNNNNNNNNNNNNNNNNNNNNNNNNNNNNNNNNNNCAAACAGAAAAAUAGGAAGAAAAACUGGGUCUCGUCGCUUGCGCGCGAUGUUACAGCUUGAUGUACAUCAAGAGAAGGAUGAACUAAACGUGAUGUCGCCAGAGGCAGGAUCAAAUGAGGCCUCCACAAGCGCGGCCGAGUCGUCAGCUGGGUUCACUUCCACAGGUUUGCUCAGGAGCUGCACCCCUUGCUUCCAGUAUCGAGUAUCUGAGGUCAGGUCAACACCAACAGCACAGGGCCAUCAGGUACGGGAAUGUGAGAAACAACCAUCAGUUUACUCACGAUUCUUACAGGCAUUGACGUACUCAAGAGUGAGACGAAGACAUGUGCUUACCUGGUCCUGUGCUUAUCACGAUAGAGUUCUUCUCGUCGAGCACCCAGUCGAUCCAAACCGCAAAGCCAUGGCACGUUCCAGCAUCGGAAAACUCAAUCUACACAAGAUCAUCAAAUGGAAUAGCAGACCGGUCAGAAAACUACGUGCAUACCUGGGUAUGAAAUUCAGUCAGAAAACAUGAAUGUUUUAGGCAGCAGAGGGGCGCUUCAUGUUGUGUAUUUUAGUGCGCAACAGGGACUGCAGGAUGAUGGACCAAACAUGGCUUUUACAUAUACUCCCUCUAUAAAGAGUGUUUAGAUCACUAAAGUAGUUAUGUGAACGCUCUUAUAUUUCUUUACGGAGGGAGUAUAAACUAAGAAAAGUUAAGGCAGAACAAAAUCAGUCCCAACAGACACCAGCAAACAACUUUGCGCUAGUAUGAUAUAAGUUAGUGACAUCUCUGGUGUAUUCCCAUCUUAAUAUUCAGUUAGAACUGGUGACAGCAUGGACCUGAUAUAAUUAAGAAUCUCUGAAAUUAAGGCAACUCUACAAGGAAAAACUCUGAUGACGCUCAUGCCGCCAAAAAGACAGCAAGAUAUACCUUUGUUUUCCCAAAGCAGGAGUGAAUAGGCUCCGAAAAGUUGAAGUCCAUGACAGAGUACACUUUGCUUAAUUUCUGGUCAAGUUUGAAUGCAUCGUUAGUCACGUCUAAGAGAUAUGAUAUCUAUGCAUCCAACCUCGAGUCAGUGUUCUACUGUACCUUUGUAUAACCACAUUGCCAUACAUAAUAGGGAAGACAAGGACCCUGCUGCUCUCCAGGAAGAUCGCCGCAGGCUCCUAAAGUCUCGUUAACAACCAAGUGGUCAAAACCCUCGACAUCUUUCAGGCUGCGACGACUCUUCCACAAGUCCUGCAGUACCAUAGUUAUUAGAAGGAAAACAAAAUCUCUGUUCUUUUGCCCAAAAGAAAAUAAAGAGUAAUUCGUGGGAAGACUAACCGGAAGAGACAUGGCGCAUAACUUUAAUACUCCUUUGCAAGGCAUUAUGAGUGCAUCCUCAGAUAGCAUUGAAUCAAACAGAGUUCUUGCAUUCCUAAAGCAAAAAUAACAGGCGCAGAUAUUGGCAUCUUCAAUCGGCAUCAACACAGAACAAUAGACAUCAAAGGCCUUCUCAUUUAAAAUGUGGAUCCGAAAAUAUGAUUAAUACUUGGUGAAUUCAAUGAAAAUUAGAUGAAUAGGUGUGUUUAUCCUACAAGCUACUCAAAACAACCAUAUGACUCUUCCAGCCUAAACUUGGAUCAACAAACCUAAAAUGGUGGCAACAGUUAAAAAAUAAAGCCUAUUUCCCUAGUUAAGAGGAUACAGAAGUUUGUUUCUUCGCUUGUUAGUUAAGGCAUAUGUGAACAGAUGCAUGAAGGUCUACGAGCAAACAUUUGCUUCUCUGUUCAAAUUGAGGGUGCAUUAUUUUCUUUUACAAUACUAUGUUGCCACAGUUGCCCUAUACUAGUACUAGAAGGAACUCUCAAAAUAAAAGUACCAGAUAAAAGGAAACAUUUAAUAGGGUGCCAUAUUUUCAUUAAAAUAUGGGCUUGAGAAUAACGAAAUUAUAGUAUAAAAGUGAAUUUUAACUAUCAAUCAAAACUACAUAAUUUCUGUCAGGUCAGAAGAAUCGAUGAGGAACAUGGAGACAAAGAAUCAGAAGGAAAUAUACGAACAGAAAUAUAACAAGGAG
This 14661-nucleotide long non-coding RNA is filed under the name Triticum aestivum (bread wheat). RNAcentral's name for it is "long non-coding RNA (TAES_LNC002572)". The record is from RNAcentral. Lineage: Eukaryota; Viridiplantae; Streptophyta; Magnoliopsida; Poales; Poaceae.